GACGAACGCUGGCGGCGUGCCUAAUACAUGCAAGUAGAACGCUGAAGGAGGAGCUUGCUUCUCUGGAUGAGUUGCGAACGGGUGAGUAACGCGUAGGUAACCUGCCUGGUAGCGGGGGAUAACUAUUGGAAACGAUAGCUAAUACCGCAUAAUAGCAGUUGUUGCAUGACAACUGUUUGAAAGGUGCAAUUGCACCACUACCAGAUGGACCUGCGUUGUAUUAGCUAGUUGGUGGGGUAACGGCUCACCAAGGCGACGAUAUAUAGCCGACCUGAGAGGGUGAUCGGCCACACUGGGACUGAGACACGGCCCAGACUCCUACGGGAGGCAGCAGUAGGGAAUCUUCGGCAAUAGACGGAAGUCUGACCGAGCAACGCCGCGUGAGUGAAGAAGGUUUUCGGAUCGUAAAGCUCUGUUGUAAGAGAAGAACGAGUGUGAGAGUGGAAAGUUCACACUGUGACGGUAUCUUACCAGAAAGGGACGGCUAACUACGUG
This 495-nucleotide ribosomal RNA is filed under the name uncultured bacterium. RNAcentral describes it as "partial 16S ribosomal RNA". It matches the Rfam family "Bacterial small subunit ribosomal RNA", at positions 28 to 507 of the family's 1533-position model. The record is from RNAcentral.